UGGGUUGAGGCUCAUCGGUAGAGCGCUCACCUCACAAAUGUGGGGCCCUGGGUUUGAUCCUCAGCACCACAU
This 72-nucleotide transfer RNA is filed under the name Ictidomys tridecemlineatus (thirteen-lined ground squirrel). RNAcentral describes it as "Spermophilus tridecemlineatus (thirteen-lined ground squirrel) tRNA". It matches the Rfam family "tRNA". Rfam says of the family: Transfer RNA (tRNA) molecules are approximately 80 nucleotides in length. Their secondary structure includes four short double-helical elements and three loops (D, anti-codon, and T loops). Lineage: Eukaryota; Metazoa; Chordata; Mammalia; Rodentia; Sciuridae. The record is from Rfam by way of RNAcentral.